UAAUUGCAAAAGACCUAAGCCCUUUCACCCAGAGGUUCAACCCCUCUUCUUAACU
This 55-nucleotide transfer RNA is filed under the name Tylototriton podichthys. RNAcentral describes it as "partial tRNA-Leu". The record is from RNAcentral. Lineage: Eukaryota; Metazoa; Chordata; Amphibia; Caudata; Salamandridae.